GGAUCAUUAUCGUCGGGGGCUUCGGCCCCGUCGAGAUAGCACCCUUGUCCUCCUCGGCGCACUUGUAUCGUUUCCUCGGGCUGGUCCCCAGCCCGAACGGACCCCAACCAAACCCUUUUUGCAGUGCCUGUCUCAGUCUGAUCGUAAACAAAAUCGUUAACAACUUUCAACAAUGGAUCUCUUGGUUCUGGCAUCGAUGAAGAACGCAGCGAAAUGCGAUAAGUAGUGUGAAUUGCAGAAUUCAGUGAAUCAUCGAAUCUUUGAACGCACAUUGCGCCCUUUGGUAUUCCUUAGGGCAUGCUUGUUCGAGCGUCAUUCUCACCCCUCCAAGCCCCGCUUGGCUGUUGGGCGCCUUGUCCCGCCUCCCGCGCGCGGACUCGCCCCAAAUGCACCGGCGGCCGCCCCCAACGAGCCUGAGCGCAGCAGAAACGCGCCUCUAGGCGGCAGGGCGCGGCAGGCCCCCGCGAAACGGAAAAUGACCCCCCUCGAAGGACCUCGAAUCAAGCAGGAGUACCCGCUGAACUUAAGCAUAUCAAUAAGCGGAGGACAAGAAAUCAACAGAGAUUGCCUCAGUAACGGCGAGUGAAGCGGCAACAGCUCAAAUUUGAAAUCUGGCUCCCUUGGGGGUCCGAGUUGUAAUUUGCAGAGGGUGCUUUGGCAUCGGCUGCGGUCUAAGUUCCUUGGAACAGGACGUCGCAGAGGGUGAGAAUCCCGUACGUGGCCGCCAGCCUUUGCCGUGUAAAGCCCCUUCGAAGAGUCGAGUUGUUUGGGAAUGCAGCUCUAAACAGGAGGUAAAUUCCUUCCAAAGCUAAAUACCGGCCAGAGACCGAUAGCGCACAAGUAGAGUGAUCGAAAGAUGAAAAGCACUUUGGAAAGAGAGUCAAAAAGCACGUGAAAUUGUUGAAAGGGAAGCGCUUGCAGCCAGACGCGCCUGCGGUCGUUCAUCCGGGCUUCUGCCCGGUGCACUCCCCCGCAGGUGGGCCAGCGUCAGCUUGGGUGGCCGGAUAAAAGCCCGCUAAACGUACCUCCCCCGGGAGGACUUAUAGGGCGGGUGGCAUACGGUCAGCCUGGG
RNAcentral lists this unclassified non-coding RNA (1072 nucleotides) under leaf metagenome. RNAcentral's name for it is "partial contains internal transcribed spacer 1, 5.8S ribosomal RNA, internal transcribed spacer 2, and large subunit ribosomal RNA". The stretch from base 491 to 1072 matches the Rfam family "Eukaryotic large subunit ribosomal RNA", at positions 1 to 586 of the family's 3401-position model. The record is from RNAcentral.